GAGUUUGAUCGUGGCUCAGAGUGAACGCUGGCGGCAGGCCUAACACAUGCAAGUCGAACGGCAGCACAGAGGAGCUUGCUCCUUGGGUGGCGAGUGGCGGACGGGUGAGGAAUGCAUCGGAAUCUGCCUAUUUGUGGGGGAUAACGUAGGGAAACUUACGCUAAUACCGCAUACGUCCUACGGGAGAAAGUGGGGGACCGCAAGGCCUCACGCAGAUAGAUGAGCCGAUGCCGGAUUAGCUAGUUGGCGGGGUAAAGGCCCACCAAGGCGACGAUCCGUAGCUGGUCUGAGAGGAUGAUCAGCCACACUGGAACUGAGACACGGUCCAGACUCCUACGGGAGGCAGCAGUGGGGAAUAUUGGACAAUGGGGGCAACCCUGAUCCAGCCAUGCCGCGUGAGUGAAGAAGGCCUUCGGGUUGUAAG
Molecule: ribosomal RNA, 424 nt
Filed under: uncultured Gammaproteobacteria bacterium
Lineage: Bacteria; Pseudomonadati; Pseudomonadota; Gammaproteobacteria
Description: bacterial SSU rRNA
Rfam family: Bacterial small subunit ribosomal RNA
Source: RNAcentral